RNAcentral lists this ribosomal RNA (214 nucleotides) under uncultured bacterium. RNAcentral describes it as "partial 16S ribosomal RNA". It matches the Rfam family "Bacterial small subunit ribosomal RNA", at positions 524 to 737 of the family's 1533-position model. The record is from RNAcentral.
UACGGAGGAUGCGAGCGUUAUCCGGAUUUAUUGGGUUUAAAGGGUGCGUAGGCGGCCUGUUAAGUCAGCGGUGAAAUCUAGGAGCUUAACUCCUAAAUUGCCAUUGAUACUGGCGGGCUUGAGUGUAGAUGAGGUAGGCGGAAUGCGUGGUGUAGCGGUGGAAUGCAUAGAUAUCACGCAGAACUCCGAUUGCGAAGGCAGCUUACUAAGGUAC